This 5506-nucleotide long non-coding RNA is filed under the name Chinchilla lanigera (long-tailed chinchilla). RNAcentral describes it as "lncRNA (ENSCLAG00000027472.1)". The record is from RNAcentral. Lineage: Eukaryota; Metazoa; Chordata; Mammalia; Rodentia; Chinchillidae.
AUGGCACAGGGAGGAUGUGGACCAAACUUGACAGCAGGUCCGGCUGGUUCAGAAGGGAGGUUUUCUUCCCAGCAAGUCCAGGCGAUCUACAGACUUGACCCUGGCUGCCCCUGGGACGGCAGCAAGGGAGAGAAACGGAAUGGGUGGAGCAGGAGGCGGAGGAGGGUCGGGGUGGAGGACUCACCGCAGCACAAGGCAAACCAGACCGCACAGCCUUGCGCCUCGGGCAGGCUUAGCAAUGGGCAGGUCGCUGCGACCGCAACCUCAAGGGUGGAGCAGCCAGCUGGGGCGAGUUCGGAGGCUGAGGGCACCCUCAGGGAUGGGCGGGAAAGCUUCAGGCCAACAGAGAGCGCAGGUGACAAGGUUGUUGAGUUCUUAGCAUGCUUUUGGCCACAUCUGUUCAACAGCCCGGAGAGCAACCCUGGCCAGAGCCUCACACCAAGGAAUUCCUGGACUCAGCUUCUACUGGAAGAAAAAACCCUGGAAGGCAAGAGGACACCGUGGGAGGCGGCAGCACCUUCCUCUCAUUUCCCAGUGUUUCUCCCAUUGUGCUCUUUGUCAGGAGAGGAGACGGUGGGAAGGGAAAAGCUCUCGUCAAGAAGAAUGACAAGAGAAGUGAGGGGGCCUUGUCUCUUCGAAAUCUGGAGUGUAGGAGCGAUUCCUGAGGUGUUCCUGUUUUCCUCUUUCUCAUCUUCACGUAGGGGCAUUGGGGGCUAUGUAUCCAUCGGUGCUCCGGCUGCUUUUCUAGAAACAGGCCUCUUUAGUUCUCAAGUAGAGAAGAGGGAGCUGCAAAGUGAGCUCGAGGCCAGCCUGAACCGCGAACCGCACAGCGAGACCCUGUCCCAGAAAGAAAAAAGAAAAAAAAGAAAGAAAGAAAAGGAUAGAAGAGGACAGUAUUGCACAUGGCAAGGCCCUCAAAGACCUGUAGUUUUGAGGGAGGGCUGUCCUUUGCUUGUUCUCUGCCUGGGUCAGCUCACUGCUGGGGAAUUCGGGUGCAUUCAUAGGCAGCAGCAUGUCAUGCCUACGCCCACGACCCGUGGAGCCUUCUCUGGUGCUGCUCCGUGGCUGGAGGAGACACUGGCACGGUGACCCCUGGGAUCCUCACAGACUGAGGAUUCUGGCCCAUGAGGAGCGAGGUUGGCGCUCAGAAUGACUAUCUGAGGAGUGGGAGCGGGCUUGCACGGCUGAGCCCACUGUGUCCUGGGGCCCUGGGUAAUGCUCACCAUCGCGCAGGAAAGCAGGGAAGACUAGAGGCUCCCUAGGGCUUGGCCUUGUGACCGAACCUCAGCCUGGAGGCGCUCCCUGCUGAAGCGUCAACACCUCUCCUUCGGCUCAGCGCUGCACACAGAGCUGUGGGAAACGAGAGCUGCCGGAAAUGGGAGGUCACCGAAGGUCUGAAGUUCAGUUGAACAAUAAAUGAUAAGGACAAUUUACCAAUUUUAUGAUAAGGACAUAUUUAAACAUUUAAUUGAAGCUAAUAAUAAAACUGAAUGCACUGUUCUCAGAUCAAGCUCAACUCAUUGAGUUUCUCAUGUUAUUAAAAGGAUUAAGGAUUUCCUUAAAAAUAAUAUUUCCUUUGAAGCAGAUGCUGUGUUGACUGGUAGUUAAAUUUUCUGAAUCUUAGACAUUUAGCAUCACUUUAGCUAAUUAGCUGCACUGCUUUAAUUUCCAACUACCGUGCCUUUGAGCUCUGUCUGGCUGCGUUGUGGUUUAUUUCUGGACGACGUCUCUCCCUAAAGGCUCACGUGCUCGUGGGUGGGGCUUCGCGGGUGUGAUCCUCAUCAAUGCAUCAGUCCGCUGAUGAGCUUUGGCUAAACGUGAUGUUGGGGGGAGGCGGGUCACUUCCGUGUUCGAUCGCGCUCUUUCUCUGCUUCCCACCGCCGGGCUAUGCGCUGUUUUUUCUGCCACUCCCCUCUGCCAAACUACCUUACCUUGGAGCCAGUGGACUAUGGAUUGAAAUCUCUACAAACUGUGGGCCAAAAUAAACUUCUCCUUCCUUAAAUUGUGCUUGUCGGGUAUUGUGUCCCGGCGGCCAGAAAGGAACUAAGACAGGCUAUCAUGUUGAUAUUAGUCUAACAGGAAAUUUGCUAAAAGGCCAAUAUGUUGAUUGCCUUGAGAAAGCUGUGGAAUUACCAUAGGUAGUAUUCCCCUCGCUAUAAGUGGGUGACUAUAUAUUGUUCAAACUGAGACACCUCUGAGAAUAACAGGAAGCUACAUUAACCCUUGUUUCAGAACACGGGUAAACUAGGACCUUCUUACCUAUAAGGCAAGUUCUUUUCCUUCCAAGUUAUUUCUCAAAAGAAGGGAGAUAUAGAUUUAAAAAUAUACAUGGCUAUAAACAUAGGUAGUAUUGCAGUUCUCACAAAGUUUCUCAUAAUCUAGGUCAUUUCAAGUUCUUUUUUAAUAAACAAAAAUCACAAAACACUGUAUAAUGAAGAUUCAGUACUCUGAAAUUAUCCAAUUACUGCUAGUUUUACAUUUUUCUAGAAAGCAGAUAAUAGAAAUGAGUUUUUAGAAAGAGAAAUAGAAAUUUGACACAGACUUAGUGAUUAUUCUGGAGAGUAGCCCCUCAAAAUUUCAAAUUCUGAUGUUGCAAACUCUUAAAAAAACAAAAAGGAAAAUGGAAAAAUGAUUGUUUCGUCAACUUACAGGAUAAGUAGAAACUCUUACUAUUGAAAAAGUUUAUGGUUUGGAAGAAAGUUUUCAGAAACAUUAUCAAAUGUGAUUUCAAAAAUGGCUGUGUUCCAAAUUACUGAAGAGUGCUUUGGACAAUUCAGUAAAAGAUAAAAAAUUUGCCAUUGUGAUAAGGGAGACAAUGAAGUUGGAAAAUAUAUGAGGAGUACGAACAAAACCAUUCUGAAAUAUGAUGUUGGGAAACAUUCCAGAUUAAGCAUUAUUUUGUAUAAUAUGAUUAUAAAUAUCAUGUAUAAUUCAGUUAACAAAUUAAAUACUAUGAGUAGACAUUUGAAUAUUUCAUCCAUGUCCUUAAAAAUUUAUAUAGUGUAUUAAAUUGUCCCAAAUCUUUUUUGGAUCUACUUACAAGGAAUCAUUUCUGUGUGUGUGUUUUCUUACAUCUAGGUCAUAGUCUAUUUGUGCUGCUAAAACAUAAUACCUGAGACUGAGUAAUACAUACAGAAGAGAACUUGGUCUCUUACAGUUCUGAGAGCUGGCAGAAUAGAUGAGGGCAUCCAUAGUUCUGGUUGUCUGGUGAGGGUCUUGCCUGUGCUUCCAAGAAGGUGCCUUGAAUGCCAUAUCCUUCAGGGGAGAUGAACUCUGUAUCCUUAUGACGCAGCCAGCAAAAGGGCAAAAGACACAAACUCCAUCAAGUCCUUAUAUAAGGGCCUCUGCUCCCAGGUGUGUAGGUGAAGCCUCAUGACUCAGUCACUCCCAAGAGCCACACCUCCUAACAAUACUGCACUGGGCAUGAAGUGCCAAUAUAAACUACGGUGGGGACAAACCAUUGAAGCCAUAGUGCUAGGCAUAUGUGUACUCACAUAUAGGUCUGUGUUCUGUGUAGGGGUGUCAAGGCAAGUUCCUGAGGUUAAAGCUGAGGGGAGAAGUAGUUCUCCUGACUUCCUGUCUGGGGAGAAAAUUCAUCAGAACACCAGGUAGUAGGAAAAUUUUAAGCCUGUGUGAUAUGUCUUUCUUGUCUUGAGCAUUGUUGCUAUCUUACAGAACCACCAUCACAUAUGCAGUAAGAGAUUGAGUGCAAGCAGGUCCUAAAGAUUGGUAGUUGACUGCUAGAGUUUUUACAGCCAAAAUUCUGUCCUGGCUAUGAUGGAUGGCCAAGAGACAGUUUCUUUCUGUCACAGUUGUCUGAAAGGCAGACUCCAGUGCUAAUUAAUUUGUUGUUAAGGUGUCCUGGAAUCAUUAUUAAAAGCAAGUCACUACGAACCUGCAAAGGAGGCUGUGAUGGCCUGAUGUCUUCUGGUAUCUCAGGAGGGCAGAAUCUGGGGAGGGCUGACAGUCACACUCUUGCACUGCCCAGCUCUGCAACUUCAAGUGAGACUCUUCAGCUUUUCAAGGAAGUUAGAGGGGUUCUUUCCAGAGUGAAUGAUCCCUCUUUUUUAAAAAAUGUAAAUAAAAAGAAAAGGACAACAGUAUUUAAACCAAAUAAAUGAUAUAGAAAACAAAUACGUCAGAAGUAAAAGGAAACAAAAGGCCAAUGUGGGCUAAAGUGAUGAAGGAACCCUGUGAUUUGUGGGCUCUCAGGACAAAAGGAAACCAGGUCUUCCAUUAGUUGUGGACUUCAGCUUUGUAGAUUUGUGAGUAGGAAGUAAACUGAGGGCCUGUCUUAGUUACUUUUCUCUCAUUGCUGAGACAAAAUACCCGAUACCCAACGUUAAAGCAGGAAAGAUUUAUUUAGCUCACAGUUGGUAGAGGUUUUAGUCUAUCAGCUGGCUCUGAGGCAAAGUGGCUUGGCAGGGAGCAACAGUUCAUGGUGGCAGGAGGAUAGCAAAAGCACCAAGAGAAGAAGGAAACAAGCUUCUUUCUGCCCCCUAUAUUGUAUCCAGCCUACCAGGCUGAGGGCAGUGCCAAUCCAAUCAGUGGACUGAUCAUCCACCAUUAAUCCCAGAAUUGCACCAUGAAUCAGUCACACACUCUAGAAUCAUCUACCUCUGAAAAAGCCCUAUGUAAAACUGCCUGAGGCUUUGGAGGGACAUCUAGACCCAAACCACAACAGGGCCUGAGAGGAGCAGUCACUUACUUAACAUUGUACAGUUGCCUGAAGGGGCCUCAGGAACCAAAGGACCUGUCCACUAGAGUCCUAAACCUAUGUCAGGUGUUGUGGAAGGGUUGGGGAGAAGUAAAUCAUCUGUUCUUGAUAGCCUUCCUCUAAACUGUGAAGACUCCAUUCUCAAUUUGUCCCUUUAACGGAACUUCAGAGAUGUUGAGGCACAGGGACCAGGCUUGGGGAUAGGCAAGGGGUGCACAGAUGGGGAACUCGGGGCGCUGAGCUACUGCCAGGAUCCCUGAAGUUAGUUUGCUCACUCCCCUCCUUUUCACUGAGGACCUGCAGAGGUGGUACCAGUUUGGAAGCAUAUGGCUUUGCACUCUUCCUCCUACCUUGCUGUAGUGAUCUGUACCACAAACAGCUGGCUAAUCAGUUAUUGGACUUCAUAGAACUCACUCAAACAACAAGUUUACCAUUGGAAGGCUAUGAGAUACAACUGAGAAACUAGAUUUUACAUCUGCUACCAUCCAGGAGAUUGCAAUUUCUCCACCCCUGAUUUUUUUUUUUUUUUCAGUGCUGGGGAUUGAACCCAGGACUUAGUGCAUACUAGGCAAAUGAACGACAUUCUCAAACCAUUUUUGUGUCUUUAAAAUUGGAACUCACAAGAAAUCAAAUCAUAACAAAUGCUAGUGGGACCUGGAGAAAAAAAAGCAACCCUUCUACAUGUUGGUGGGAAUGUAAACUAGUUCAACCACUGUGGAAAUCAGUAUGGAGAUUCCUCUAACAACAACAAAAAAAGGCACCUAGAAAUUCCAUUUGACCCAGCCAAUC